UUCCGUAGGUGAACCUGCGGAAGGAUCAUUACUGAGAGAGGGGCUUCGUGCUCCCGGGGGUUUCGGCCCCCAACUCUUCACCCUUUGCGUAUCUACCUUUGUUGCUUUGGCGGACCCGAGAUGCCUCUCGCGCUGGCUCUUAGGUCGGUGAGCGUCCGUCAGAGGUCCCUUUUAUCCUAUUUAUUAGUAAUGUCCAAGUCUAAACACAAUGAAUUAAAAACUUUCAACAACGGAUCUCUUGGUUCCAGCAUCGAUGAAGAACGCAGCGAAAUGCGAUAAGUAAUGUGAAUUGCAGAAUUCAGUGAAUCAUCGAAUCUUUGAACGCACAUUGCGCCCCUCGGCAUUCCGGGGGGCAUGCCUGUUCGAGCGUCAUUGCACCCCUCAAGCGCAGCUUGGUAUUGGGCUCUCGUCCCCGUGGCGUGCCUGAAAAACAGUGGCGGUCCGGCGUGACUUUGAGCGUAGUAACAUCUCCCGCUCUAAAGCUCUCGCUGUGUCCGGCCAAACAACCUUAUCUACUUCUAUAAUUGACCUCGGAUCAGGUAGGGAUACCCGCUGAACUUAAGCAUAUCAUAAGCGGAGGAUAGAACCAACA
This 592-nucleotide ribosomal RNA is filed under the name Xanthoparmelia aff. subramigera. RNAcentral describes it as "eukaryotic LSU rRNA". The stretch from base 219 to 372 matches the Rfam family "5.8S ribosomal RNA". The record is from RNAcentral. Lineage: Eukaryota; Fungi; Ascomycota; Lecanoromycetes; Lecanorales; Parmeliaceae.